CUCCCAUCCUAUUCAAGCAUUGUGUUACUGAGGAGCAAUGGAAGUAGUUCCUCUCUGCAAGUUGUCGCUGCUGCUGUCUAUGAUAGUCGCUUUGCUCAUAUGCAUUGAAGGAAACAGUACCCUGGAUGUUUAUCUACUGGGUUGCCAGGAUCCAGGAGUAAGCUUCAGAGCAGGAACACCAGGUCCUACAUGCUCCAAUUUGUGCGUGCCUGCCAUUCCGGCUGGUUAUAGAUUCACGUUUGAUGGACAGUUUGGUUUCCUCUUUAGCCAGCCCAACUGCAUGGGCUCAACUACACGCUUGAAUUCCAGCCAGGAAGUUUGUGCAGUGGGGAGCUCCAGCCCAAUCAAGUCUUUCAAGUUUGUAUGUGCCUAGACAAGCUCAGCAUGGCAUUGGGAUUUUAAAUUUUAACUAUUCUUCACAUAAAUAUUUGUAAGGAAGUACAGUCAGAUUCCCUUCUGCAUGAUUGGUACAGUAAGUCAAUAGUACAAUCCUACUAUUCUUAA
Long non-coding RNA from Selaginella moellendorffii, 504 nucleotides. RefSeq lists it as uncharacterized. The record is from RefSeq and is a predicted model, not a curated record. Lineage: Eukaryota; Viridiplantae; Streptophyta; Lycopodiopsida; Selaginellales; Selaginellaceae. The transcript is spliced from 2 exons.